Molecule: long non-coding RNA, 654 nt
Organism: Chroicocephalus ridibundus (black-headed gull)
Lineage: Eukaryota; Metazoa; Chordata; Aves; Charadriiformes; Laridae
Exons: 3
Source: RefSeq, a predicted model, not a curated record
ACAAAGGUGGCUGAGCCUGAGGUCUUAAAGGGAAGAUGUGACCGGCGGCUCCAUGAAUACAUUUGGCCACUUCUUCUUUUCUUCAUGUGAAUGUGAGGUUACGUAGCCAUGUGUGGAAGUGCUGGUCUGAGGUACAACAGAACCGGUGUUGUUUGCAGUCACUUUACUUUUCAGGUCCGGAGUCUGGUUCCAGUCUGUCGCCGAGUCUGGUCCUGGACUUUCCCCGUGCCAGCGGGUGAGGCGAUGGUCAUCUUGGGAGCUCCAUGCCGGGUUGAGAGAAGUUAAAAGAGAGCGUCUGUCGUUUCAUUUAAUGCCCAGCCUAAGCCAUGACAGCCAUGACAGAAAGGGCAGCGGAGCGGACUCGGCUGAGGAGAGCGGCGGUCGGAAGGGUUGGUUCUUUCUCAGCCGCUGUAUUACAGGCGGCGCACAAGCCUCUGCUUGCGCUCCGUCCGUCCUUCCUAUCCAGAACGUCGUUCUGGCAGAAGUCGGGUAAUACGCGUCGUCUUGCUAGAAGUGACAUAUGACCCCCCCCAGCAUUGUGGGUUUUCUUUCACAAGGAAACUAGAGGACAUUGAGUCUUGAUAAAAACGUGGUUAUCGGGCCUAAUGAUCUACUUGCCUAUGGAGGUUAGGAUGAUGUCUUUCUCUUUAUGUC